AUACGUAGGGGGCAAGCGUUAUCCGGAUUUACUGGGUGUAAAGGGAGCGUAGACGGAAGGCCAAGUCUGAUGUGAAAGCCCGCGGCUCAACCGCGGAACUGCUUUGGAAACUGUGUAGCUGGAGUAUCGGAGGGGUAAGCGGAAUUCCUGGUGUAGCGGUGGAAUGCGUAGAUAUCAGGAGGAACACCGGUGGCGAAGGCGGCUUACUGGACGAUAACUGACGUUGAGGCUCGAAAGCGUGGGGAGCAAACAGGAUUAGAUACCCUGGUAGUCCACGCUGUAAACGAUGAAUACUAGGUGUCGGGUUCCAAAGGGAUUCGGUGCCGUCGCAAACGCAAUAAGUAUUCCACCUGGGGAGUACGUUCGCAAGAAUGAAACUCAAAUGAAUUGGCGGGG
RNAcentral lists this ribosomal RNA (396 nucleotides) under uncultured bacterium. RNAcentral describes it as "partial 16S ribosomal RNA". It matches the Rfam family "Bacterial small subunit ribosomal RNA", at positions 523 to 918 of the family's 1533-position model. The record is from RNAcentral.